Long non-coding RNA from Anopheles gambiae (African malaria mosquito), 836 nucleotides. RefSeq lists it as uncharacterized. NCBI's taxonomy places the organism in Eukaryota, Metazoa, Arthropoda, Insecta, Diptera, Culicidae. The record is from RefSeq and is a predicted model, not a curated record. The transcript is spliced from 2 exons.
CGCCGCACGUGUAGAGCUGUGUGCGUGUGACGAAAAAUGAUGGAUGAAAAACGCGAGGAGCGGGGUCUGAAGUCUUUCGUUGGUCACACACACAUGCAUCUACCAGCGGAUUGCGCUUCACCGAGUCUACCCAUCUCUCUCGAUCUACCAUGAUUUUUUCUGCUAUCGCACUCAUCCGGGUGUUAAGCAUCCUCAGUCUGUCCUGAACUUUCGUUGUGGAAGGAUGUGCGGCAGUGAUGUGCGAUUUCUUGUGUCCCCUACUUUCCUUGUUUACGUUUUGCGCAGUGUUGCUUCUUCUUCCAUUGUGUAAUGAUUUAUCCUAGCUAACUUGUUGAGUUACAGAUGCAUGCACCAUUCAUCAACGCCUACCUGUUGGCAUCAUCAACAAUCUUCAAAGUGGGUGACGGAAAGAAAUUGUUUUCCAGUUUUAAAAUAUUAAGCUAAGUGUUGCUCUCAUCAUAUACGCAAAACUUUCCAAAGUAAUACGUACUACAUACAUUAAUUAUUGGUUCAUUUUUAUUGACAGCGUUCAGCACAACUCAGCCACAAAACAACGCACUGGAUUGCGCUAAGAACCUAUCGAAACGCGCGCAGCCCCCGGGAGCGGUAGGAGAAAGGAAGAACGAGAGGAGGAAAAACUAAAGCCAGCGCGCAGCUCUGAUGGUACCCCGUACACGGUAAGAAGAAAAAAGAUCGAGAGUAGGAAGAACGGUAAAUUUGGAAGGGGGAGACCGUUCUGCCGUCUACACAGUGUGAGUAUGCCAAAGCACGUGUUGGAACGGAGGGAAAAAGUUGGAAUAAACCGCAUGCGAAUGUGUGCAUACAGCAAAUGUAAA